GGGCCGUUAGCUCAGUUGGUAGAGCAGCUGGCUUUUAACCAGCGGGUCGGAGGUUCGAGUCCUCCACGGCUCACCA
This 76-nucleotide transfer RNA is filed under the name Pyrinomonas methylaliphatogenes. RNAcentral describes it as "tRNA-Lys". It matches the Rfam family "tRNA". From Rfam's summary of the family: Transfer RNA (tRNA) molecules are approximately 80 nucleotides in length. Their secondary structure includes four short double-helical elements and three loops (D, anti-codon, and T loops). Further hydrogen bonds mediate the characteristic L-shaped molecular structure. tRNAs have two regions of fundamental functional importance: the anti-codon, which is responsible for specific mRNA codon recognition, and the 3' end, to which the tRNAs corresponding amino acid is attached (by aminoacyl-tRNA synthetases). tRNAs cope with the degeneracy of the genetic code in two manners: having more than one tRNA (with a specific anti-codon) for a particular amino acid; and 'wobble' base-pairing, i.e. permitting non-standard base-pairing at the 3rd anti-codon position. Lineage: Bacteria; Pseudomonadati; Acidobacteriota; Blastocatellia; Blastocatellales; Pyrinomonadaceae. The record is from RNAcentral. RNAcentral also lists the same sequence under 1 other name.